This 308-nucleotide ribosomal RNA is filed under the name uncultured bacterium. Its description in RNAcentral is "partial 16S ribosomal RNA". It matches the Rfam family "Bacterial small subunit ribosomal RNA", at positions 505 to 808 of the family's 1533-position model. The record is from RNAcentral.
GAGACAGCAGUAGCCACGGUAACACGAAGGGUGCAAGCGUUAAUCGGAAUUACUGGGCGUAAAGCGUGCGUAGGCGGUGAGUUAAGUCUGCUGUGAAAUCCCCGGGCUCAACCUGGGAAUGGCAGUGGAUACUGGCUCGCUAGAGUGUGUCAGAGGAUGGUGGAAUUCCCGGUGUAGCGGUGAAAUGCGUAGAGAUCGGGAGGAACAUCAGUGGCGAAGGCGGCCAUCUGGGACAACACUGACGCUGAGGCACGAAAGCGUGGGGAGCAAACAGGAUUAGAUACCCCCGUAGUCCUGUCUCUUAUACC